Molecule: RNA transcript, 3375 nt
Organism: Nicotiana attenuata
Lineage: Eukaryota; Viridiplantae; Streptophyta; Magnoliopsida; Solanales; Solanaceae
Exons: 6
Source: RefSeq, a predicted model, not a curated record
GUCGGAAAACCAAAUUAAAAAUUAGACACUAGAUCCCUAUUUCCCCAAUUUCUUUCACGAUCUGUCUCUCUCUAUUUUUCCUCUCUACUUUCUCUUCCACUGACCUAUCGACUGACGGCGGCAAACAGUGGUUGAAGACGGCAGCAAACGGUGGUUGACGACGGCAGGCAUCAGUGCGAAGAUCUGUGAAAUCCCCUCUUCUCGGUCUUAGGGAAGCAUUGUUAGCAUUGUUGCUGAGAAUGUGGAAGACAAGAUCGAUGCUUAAAAUUGGCCGAGGAGUAGUUGGGAAGACGAAAGCAUGAAAAACACAAAGGGGUAAAGAGAUUUUACUGUUUCAAGAGGCGGCUUGGCUUACUGUACAAUGAUGGAUAAUACUACCAUAUCAAGAUGGAGCUUGCACAUCGUAGAUGGAUGUAUAAUCGAACUUAUCCUAAUCGUAGUGGGUUGAGGGAGGAAUUUAUAGAAGGGGUCGCUGAAUUUAUGGCUAAAGCGAAAACACUUCAUGAAUUUCUCAGUGAAGGGGUGAUUAGGUGCCCUUGUGUGAAAUGCAAGUGUGAAAAGUUAUUGCAACCUGAUGUUGGUAAUAUUCAUCUUUGUAAAAAAGGCUUUAUGGAAAAUUAUUAUGUAUAGACUAUUCACGGAGAGGAUGUUGCUAGUGUUGGUGUUGUCGAUUUUCAAAAAAAUUUUGGUAGUGAGGGUAGUCCUUUAGCAGAGAAUAAUGUUGAAAAUUCUCGAUUCAAUGAAAUGGUUAGGGAUGCUUUUGUGAUGCACCCGGGGGCUCAGUCUGAACCAAAUGAUGAUGCUAAGUGCUUCUAUGAACAGUUACAGGAAGCUGGUCGUCCAUUGUAUGAAGGCUCAAUACAUUCUAAGUUGUCUGUUGCGGUUAGACUAUUAAGUAUUAAAUCAGAUUCGAGUAUUUCCCAAGCGGGCAUGGACUCUAUCAUUGACCUUAUGAAUGAACUUAAUCCGAAUAAAAUUGACCUACCCAAAGAUUUCUACACAGCAAAGAAACUGGUUUCUAAGUUAGGACUUUCAUCCGAGAGAAUUGAAUGUUCUGAGAAAGGUUGCAUGUUGUUCUAUAAGGAUGAUGCAACUUUAGAAAAUUGUAAAUUUUGUAACCAACCUCGUUACAAGGAAGUCACAAAUUCCAAAAUGAAGAAUAAGGUUCCAGUAAAGCCGAUGCAUUACUUACCCUUUAUACCUAGGUUAAAGAGGUUGUAUGCAUCAAUGAGCUCCGCUCCUCAUAUGAGAUGGCACUAUGAAAAUAGACGGCCACCCGGUAUUUUAUGUCAUCCGUCAGAUGGAGAAGCAUGGAAGCAUUUUGAUAGGGUGUUUCCGGAUUUUGCUAAUGAACCAAGAAAUAUUAGGUUGGGUUUAUGUGCAGGUGGAUUCACUCCAUUUUCUGUCUCGGCUGCACCAUAUUCAUGUUGGCCGGUGUUUGUUACGCCGUAUAAUCUUCCUCCUGAGUUGUGUAUGACAAGUCCAUAUUUGUUCCUAACCUGUAUUGUUCCAGGUCCACGCAAUCAGAAAAGUUUGAUUGAUGUAUAGAUGCAACCUUUAUUGAUGAGUUAAAGUUAUUGUGCCAUGAAGGUGUGGAAACAUAUGAUAUAUCAACUAAACAAAACUUCAGAUUGCGUGCUGCUUUGAUGUGGACUAUAAAUAAUUUACCUGCCUAUGGAAUGUUGUCCGGGUGGUCGACUGCGGGAAAGUUAGCUUGCCCAACUUGUAUGGAAGACACAGAAACAUUCACGUUGAAACAUGGAGGAAAGAACACAUGGUUUGAUUGCCACCGUCAAUUCCUGCCUAGGGAUCACGAGUUUAGGAAAAAUACUAGUGCAUUCAUGAAGAACCAAACUAAUUUUGAGGAGCCACUGUCACCAUUGUCGCCAGAAAAAAUUUGGAACAGAGUUUGGUCUCUACCUAAGGUAAUAGAGUCUGCAAUGUCUAAUAAGAUAUCUGGUUAUGGUGUUACUCAUAAUUGGACUAAACAGAGCAUAUUUUGGGAGUUACUAAGCAUAACCUUCUUCGGCAUAAUCUGGAUGUCAUGCAUAUCGAGAAAAACUUUUUGACAACACAUUUAAUACUGUAAUGGAUGUCAAUAGCAAGACAAAAGAUAACUCAAAGGCUAGGAUGGACUUAAAGGAAUAUAAUAGACGAAGUGAGUUGUACCUGACAUACAUGAUAAACAAGAUUCAGAAGCCCAAGGCCAGUUACACAUUCACUUUCGAUGAGAGAAGAGAUAUUUGUGAUUGGGUUAAGAAUUUAAGGAUGCCUGAUGGAUAUGCGUCAAACUUAUCUAGGUGUGUUGACAUGAAAGAAGGGAAGUUGACGUCUAUGAAGAGCCACGAUUGUCAUAUUUUCCUUGAAUCAUUGAUGCCUAUUGCGUUCAAAGCCUUACGUGAUAGAAUAUGGAAACCCAUUACUGAGAUAAGUUUUUUCAAGGAGUUGUGUUCUAGCACAUUGAAGGUGGAGAACCUAGCUUACAUGUAGAGUAACAUUUGCUUAACUUUAAACAAGCUGGCAAAAAUUUUUCCUCUUGGAUUUUUUGAUGUAAUGGAACAUCUUCCAAUUCAUCUUGCGCAAGAGGCCCGACUUGGAGGGUCUGUUCAGUGUAGAUGGAUGUAUCCUUACGAGAGGACUAUUGGAAAAUGUAAGUGGAACGUGAAAAAUAGAUCCAGGAUUGAGGGAUCGAUAUGUGAGGCACAUCUGGCUAAAGAAACUUCUUUUUUCUGUUCAUAUUAUUUUGAACAUGAUGUGCCAUGUUUGAGAAAUAUGCCAAAUCGGCAUGAUGAUGGAGGUGUUUUUGAUCGAGCCGCGUGCUUCUAUGACAUAUGAAGCCUAACCGUUUGGAGGAAUGGCGUCAAUGUCAACUCGAUUCCGAUGAAGAUAGUUCAACCCAAGUGUCACUCAAUGAUGUAGCUUCAAUAUGGACACAAGUGGUUGGUGGCGCAAAGAAAGGUAGAAUCUACGGUCUUGGAUCACAACAUUCCGUAGGUCGUUCUACGACUUUAUUGUCUGGUGAUGCAAGUUAUUUGCAGAAUCACGAAGAGGUGGAAGCAUUAUGAAAAGAAGUUGAAGAGUUGAAGGAGGAAUGUAAAGAAGAUCGCACAAAUUUUAACAAAUUGCAGAGUCUAGUGGAGAAAUUUAUGAGUGGACGUCCAUUUGAUCCUUCGAAUGGCGAUGAUGGCGGGGAUAAUGAGUUUUAGUUUGUUAUGGUAGUGAUGUUUGAAACAUUAUUAUUUGUUGUGGUUAGAUGUUUAGACUUGGUAAUGUUUACACUUGACUAUGAUUGUAAUAUUUAAGACUAGAUUGAAUGGUGCUUGAAUGUUUAACUUUUUUUGGAUAUUUUAGUUACAAAUAUUUAUAUUUUCUAUA